Molecule: unclassified non-coding RNA, 391 nt
Filed under: soil metagenome
Description: partial contains 5.8S ribosomal RNA, internal transcribed spacer 2, and large subunit ribosomal RNA
Rfam family: 5.8S ribosomal RNA (bases 1-122)
Source: RNAcentral
GAUGAAGAACGUAGCGAAAUGCGAUACUUGGUGUGAAUUGCAGAAUCCCGUGAACCAUCGAGUCUUUGAACGCAAGUUGCGCCCGAAGCCACUAGGCCGAGGGCACGCCUGCCUGGGCGUCACACGUCGUUGCCCCCCCAUCUACUCCUUCGGGAUUGCGGGGGGGCGGAUGAUGGCCUCCCGUGCGCCUAGCCGCGCGGUUGGCAUAAAUACCAAGUCCUCGGCGACGCACGCCACGACAAUCGGUGGUUGCGAAACCUCGGUUGCCCAUCGUGUGCGUUCGUCGCGCAUCGAGGGCUCGAAAAAAUGCUCGGCUUCGGCUCGGCUUUCAACGCGACCCCAGGUCAGGCGGGGUUACCCGCUGAAUUUAAGCAUAUCAAUAAGCGGAGGA